UACGGAGGGUGCAAGCAUUAAUCGGAUUUAUUGGGCGUAAAGGGCGCGUAGGCGGACAGAAAAGUCAGAUGUGAAAUCCCGAGGCUCAACCUCGGAACAGCAUUUGAAACUCUUUGUCUAGAGGAUAGAAGGAGAAAACGGAAUUCCACAAGUAGCGGUGAAAUGCGUAGAUAUGUGGAAGAACACCGGUGGCGAAGGCGGUUUUCUAUUUUAGACCUGACGCUGAGGCGCGAAAGCAAGGGGAUCAAACAGG
This 253-nucleotide ribosomal RNA is filed under the name uncultured bacterium. Its description in RNAcentral is "partial 16S ribosomal RNA". It matches the Rfam family "Bacterial small subunit ribosomal RNA", at positions 524 to 776 of the family's 1533-position model. The record is from RNAcentral.